CGACGGCUCUUCCUGCCUCCUGGUCCUCAGGAGUUGGCGGCUCUUUCUGACAGCUGAAAGCCGGCCGGGGGCCUCCGGGAGGGCUCUCCAAGAGUGGGCAGAGACGCCUCAGCCCCCUGGUGGCCCGAGCGCACCCCCGCGCCCCGCGUCUCGGGGUCCAUCGCUCCCCUCGCCCCUCCUUUCCGCCUCUCCUCGCUCUGCCUCUCUCGAUUUAUUUUUUCAAAUGGUGUAGCCGCCAGAGGUGCGGUGCUAAAUUCUUGGAAGGGGCCCGGAUGUACUGAAGAUGCAUUACAAUCUUACUAAAGGAGGCAGUAGUGGAAAGGAGCAGUUUUUGGUGUUUGAUGCAAUAAUGGGAAUCAGGUAAUCAUCAGGAGGGAAGAAGAAACACUGCGGAUCCACGGCUUCCCCGAAUUUUGCACGAGAGCAGCCGACCUCGGAGGAGGGAUUAAUCCAGACCCGCUUGGGGGUGUUUUCACAUUUCUUCCUCUUUGUGGCUUCUUCUCCCCUUCAAACAGUUUUUGGUUAAUGGUCAAUGAAAAUACGAGGAUGUACAUUCCUGAGGAAAACCACCAAGGUUCCAACUAUGGGAGUCCACGCCCAGCUCAUGCCAACAUGAAUGCCAAUGCAGCUGCGGGGCUGGCCCCCGAGCACAUCCCCACCCCUGGGGCAGCCCUAUCGUGGCAGGCAGCCAUCGAUGCGGCCCGGCAGGCCAAGCUGAUGGGCAGUGCUGGGAAUGCGACCAUCUCUACUGUCAGCUCUACACAGCGAAAGCGGCAACAAUACGGGAAACCCAAGAAGCAGGGUGGCACUACCGCCACGCGGCCGCCCCGGGCCCUGCUCUGCCUGACUCUGAAGAACCCCAUCCGGAGAGCGUGCAUCAGCAUUGUCGAAUGGAAACCAUUUGAAAUCAUUAUUUUACUGACUAUAUUUGCCAAUUGUGUGGCCUUAGCAAUCUAUAUUCCUUUCCCAGAAGAUGAUUCCAACGCCACGAAUUCCAACCUGGUCUCUACGCCUUACAGAACACAAGGACUCAGUGAACCCCCAUGACAGCCGAGUGAUGAGUCCUCCUGAGAGAGGAGAUGAGUAGCCUGACGGAAUGAGGCCCAGCACUCUCCCAGCGAUGGUGAAGCCCUCCACAGUGAAGGAGCGUGGCCAUGGGUUGCGGAGGGCAGGGACAGGAGCAUGGAAGUGGGAGGCCACUAUGUUUUCCUUUUGGCUCAAGCCUGGCCAUGAACAUGUCUCAAGUAGCUCCUGGUCCCUAAAUAUCUCUUCCCUCUCGAUGCCAUGAGGUUUGUGUUGUUGCUAUGGGGAGCACUCUCUUGGGUGAAGCCUUAAUCCUCUGGAAGGGAGAAUUCAUGAAGUCAUUACAUAUCCACAUGGGUCUGAGGAUCACCUCCCUUCCUGGCCAUGAUGGACUGGGCUAGCCCAGGAUGAGGGGUUCUAGCUGGUGGUG
Molecule: long non-coding RNA, 1453 nt
Filed under: Fukomys damarensis (Damara mole-rat)
Lineage: Eukaryota; Metazoa; Chordata; Mammalia; Rodentia; Bathyergidae
Description: lncRNA (ENSFDAG00000032384.1)
Source: RNAcentral